GAUGAACGCUGGCGGCGUGCCUAAUACAUGCAAGUCGAGCGAACGGACGAGAAGCUUGCUUCUCUGAUGUUAGCGGCGGACGGGUGAGUAACACGUGGAUAACCUACCUAUAAGACUGGGAUAACUUCGGGAAACCGGAGCUAAUACCGGAUAAUAUUUUGAACCGCAUGGUUCAAAAGUGAAAGACGGUCUUGCUGUCACUUAUAGAUGGAUCCGCGCUGCAUUAGCUAGUUGGUAAGGUAACGGCUUACCAAGGCAACGAUGCAUAGCCGACCUGAGCGGGUGAUGGGCCACACUGGAACUGAGACACGGUCCAGGCUCCUACGGGAGGCAGCAGUAGGGAAUCUUCCGCAAUGGGCGAAAGCCUGACGGAGCAACGCCGCGUGAGUGAUGAAGGUCUUCGGAUCGUAAAACUCUGUUAUUAGGGAAGAACAUAUGUGUAAGUAACUGUGCACAUCUUGACGGUACCUAAUCAGAAAGCCACGGCUAACUACGUG
RNAcentral lists this ribosomal RNA (497 nucleotides) under uncultured bacterium. RNAcentral describes it as "partial 16S ribosomal RNA". It matches the Rfam family "Bacterial small subunit ribosomal RNA", at positions 28 to 507 of the family's 1533-position model. The record is from RNAcentral.